Molecule: long non-coding RNA, 305 nt
Organism: Rhipicephalus sanguineus (brown dog tick)
Lineage: Eukaryota; Metazoa; Arthropoda; Arachnida; Ixodida; Ixodidae
Exons: 3
Source: RefSeq, a predicted model, not a curated record
UCUGGCCUACACAAACAUGCAGCCACCAUAGUAAAGUUCUUGCAAAGACAUUCUACACGAACUUGCCCAAAGGCGGAAGGAAGGCACGCACAGAUGGACGCACAGAAAUCAUGGGGCUGCCGUAGAAGCUGUGAAUGAGCAUUAACCUACGUACAGAAAGGAGCGAAGUGGAGCUGUCCAUGGGCCAUGCACACAGUUUCAUAAGCAGGCUUGCAACACUUUUGACAAAUAUGUUCCUGAAUACAUCUGCCAAAGUGGCAUUUAAAGAAGCAUGUAGUAGUGUACUUCACUGUUUAUUUGGCAUG